RNAcentral lists this ribosomal RNA (484 nucleotides) under uncultured bacterium. RNAcentral's name for it is "partial 16S ribosomal RNA". It matches the Rfam family "Bacterial small subunit ribosomal RNA", at positions 30 to 507 of the family's 1533-position model. The record is from RNAcentral.
AUUGAACGCUGGCGGCAGGCCUAACACACGCAAGUCGAGCGGAUGAAGGGAGCUUGCUCCUGGAUUCAGCGGCGGACGGGUGAGUAAUGCCUAGGAAUCUGCCUGGUAGUGGGGGAUAACGUCCGGAAACGGGCGCUAAUACCGCAUACGUCCUGAGGGAGAAAGUGGGGGAUCUUCGGACCUCACGCUAUCAGAUGAGCCUAGGUCGGAUUAGCUAGUUGGUGGGGUAAAGGCCUACCAAGGCGACGAUCCGUAACUGGUCUGAGAGGAUGAUCAGUCACACUAGAACUGAGACACGGUCCAGACUCCUACGGGAGGCAGCAGUGGGGAAUAUUGGACAAUGGGCGAAAGCCUGAUCCAGCCAUGCCGCGUGUGUGAAGAAGGUCUUCGGAUUGUAAAGCACUUUAAGUUGGGAGGAAGGGCAGUAAGUUAAUACCUUGCUGUUUUGACGUUACCAACAGAAUAAGCACCGGCUAACUUCGUG